Molecule: ribosomal RNA, 2925 nt
Filed under: Vibrio parahaemolyticus
Lineage: Bacteria; Pseudomonadati; Pseudomonadota; Gammaproteobacteria; Vibrionales; Vibrionaceae
Description: 23S ribosomal RNA
Rfam family: Bacterial large subunit ribosomal RNA
Source: RNAcentral
GUUGUAUGGUUAAGUGACUAAGCGUACACGGUGGAUGCCUUGGCAGUCAGAGGCGAUGAAAGACGUAGUAACUUGCGAUAAGCCCAGAUUAGGUAGUAACAACCAUUUGAGUCUGGGAUUUCUGAAUGGGGAAACCCACGUGCAUAAGCACGUAUCCUUACCUGAAUACAUAGGGUAAGGAGGCGAACCGGGGGAACUGAAACAUCUAAGUACCCCGAGGAAAAGAAAUCAACCGAGAUUCCGAAAGUAGCGGCGAGCGAAAUUGGACUAGCCCUUAAGCUUUACACGCGUUAGACGAACGGUCUGGAAAGUCCGACGAUACAGGGUGAUAGUCCCGUAGUUGACGACGUGUGUUCAGUGAAAUCGAGUAGGGCGGGACACGUGAUAUCCUGUCUGAAUAUGGGGGGGGACCAUCCUCCAAGGCUAAAUACUACUGACUGACCGAUAGUGAACCAGUACCGUGAGGGAAAGGCGAAAAGAACCCCCUGUGAGGGGAGUGAAAUAGAACCUGAAACCGUGUACGUACAAGCAGUAGGAGCAGGCUUUGUCCUGUGACUGCGUACCUUUUGUAUAAUGGGUCAGCGACUUAUAUUCAGUGGCAAGGUUAACCAUCUAGGGGAGCCGUAGGGAAACCGAGUCUUAACUGGGCGUUCAGUCUCUGGAUAUAGACCCGAAACCAGGUGAUUCUAGCCAUGGGCAGGUUGAAGGUUGAGUAACAUCAACUGGAGGACCGAACCGACUAAUGUUGAAAAAAUUAGCGGAUGACUUGUGGCUAGGGGUGAAAGGCCAAUCAAACCUGGAGAUAGCUGGUUCUCCCCGAAAGCUAUUUAGGUAGCGCCUCGGACGAAUACUACUGGGGGUAGAGCACUGUUAAGGCUAGGGGGGUCAUCCCGACUUACCAACCCUUUGCAAACUCCGAAUACCAGUAAGUACUAUCCGGGAGACACACGGCGGGUGCUAACGUCCGUCGUGGAGAGGGAAACAACCCAGACCGCCAGCUAAGGUCCCAAAUUACUACUAAGUGGGAAACGAUGUGGGAAGGCUCAGACAGCCAGGAUGUUGGCUUAGAAGCAGCCAUCAUUUAAAGAAAGCGUAAUAGCUCACUGGUCGAGUCGGCCUGCGCGGAAGAUGUAACGGGGCUAAGUAGUAAACCGAAGCUGCGGCAAUAUACUUUUGUAUAUUGGGUAGGGGAGCGUUCUGUAAGCCGUUGAAGGUGUGUUGUAAAGCAUGCUGGAGGUAUCAGAAGUGCGAAUGCUGACAUGAGUAACGAUAAAGGGGGUGAAAAACCUCCUCGCCGGAAGACCAAGGGUUCCUGUCCAACGUUAAUCGGGGCAGGGUAAGUCGACCCCUAAGGCGAGGCCGAAAGGCGUAGUCGAUGGGAAACGGGUUAAUAUUCCCGUACUUCUUACAAUUGCGAUGGGGGGACGGAGAAGGCUAGGUGGGCCUGGCGACGGUUGUCCAGGUUCAAGUGCGUAGGCUUAAGAGUUAGGUAAAUCCGGCUCUUUCUAAGGCUGAGACACGACGUCGAGCACCUACGGGUGUGAAGUCAUUGAUGCCAUGCUUCCAGGAAAAGCCUCUAAGCUUCAGAUUGUAAGGAAUCGUACCCCAAACCGACACAGGUGGUCGGGUAGAGAAUACCAAGGCGCUUGAGAGAACUCGGGUGAAGGAACUAGGCAAAAUGGUACCGUAACUUCGGGAGAAGGUACGCUCUUGAUGGUGAAGUCCCUUGCGGAUGGAGCUGACGAGAGUCGCAGAUACCAGGUGGCUGCAACUGUUUAUUAAAAACACAGCACUGUGCAAAAUCGUAAGAUGACGUAUACGGUGUGACGCCUGCCCGGUGCCGGAAGGUUAAUUGAUGGGGUUAGACUUCGGUCGAAGCUCUUGAUCGAAGCCCCGGUAAACGGCGGCCGUAACUAUAACGGUCCUAAGGUAGCGAAAUUCCUUGUCGGGUAAGUUCCGACCUGCACGAAUGGCGUAAUGAUGGCCACGCUGUCUCCACCCGAGACUCAGUGAAAUUGAAAUCGCUGUGAAGAUGCAGUGUACCCGCGGCUAGACGGAAAGACCCCGUGAACCUUUACUACAGCUUGGCACUGAACAUUGACCCUACAUGUGUAGGAUAGGUGGGAGGCUUUGAAGCACGUACGCCAGUAUGUGUGGAGCCGUCCUUGAAAUACCACCCUUGUAGUGUUGAUGUUCUAACGUCGACCCCCUUAUCGGGGUUGCGGACAGUGCCUGGUGGGUAGUUUGACUGGGGGCGGUCUCCUCCCAAAGAGUAACGGAGGAGCACGAAGGUGGGCUAAUCACGGUUGGACAUCGUGAGGUUAGUGCAAUGGCAUAAGCCCGCUUGACUGCGAGAAUGACAAUUCGAGCAGGUGCGAAAGCAGGUCAUAGUGAUCCGGUGGUUCUGAAUGGAAGGGCCAUCGCUCAACGGAUAAAAGGUACUCCGGGGAUAACAGGCUGAUACCGCCCAAGAGUUCAUAUCGACGGCGGUGUUUGGCACCUCGAUGUCGGCUCAUCACAUCCUGGGGCUGAAGUCGGUCCCAAGGGUAUGGCUGUUCGCCAUUUAAAGUGGUACGCGAGCUGGGUUUAGAACGUCGUGAGACAGUUCGGUCCCUAUCUGCCGUGGGCGUUGGAAGAUUGAAGGGGGGCUGCUCCUAGUACGAGAGGACCGGAGUGGACGAACCUCUGGUGUUCGGGUUGUGUCGCCAGACGCAUUGCCCGGUAGCUAAGUUCGGAAUCGAUAACCGCUGAAAGCAUCUAAGCGGGAAGCGAGCCCUGAGAUGAGUCUUCCCUGAUACUUUAAGUAUCCUAAAGGGUUGUCGGAGACUACGACGUUGAUAGGUCAGGUGUGUAAGUGCUGUGAGGCAUUGAGCUAACUGAUACUAAUUGCCCGUGAGGCUUAACCAUACAACACCCAAGGGGUUU